Molecule: ribosomal RNA, 253 nt
Filed under: uncultured bacterium
Lineage: Bacteria
Description: partial 16S ribosomal RNA
Rfam family: Bacterial small subunit ribosomal RNA
Source: RNAcentral
UACGAAGGGGGCUAGCGUUGCUCGGAAUCACUGGGCGUAAAGCGCACGUAGGCGGCUUGUUAAGUCAGGGGUGAAAUCCUGGAGCUCAACUCCAGAACUGCCUUUGAUACUGACGAUCUCGAGUCCGGGAGAGGUGAGUGGAACUGCGAGUGUAGAGGUGAAAUUCGUAGAUAUUCGCAAGAACACCAGUGGCGAAGGCGGCGCACUGGCCCGGUACUGACGCUGAGGUGCGAAAGCGUGGGGAGCAAACAGG